This 341-nucleotide unclassified non-coding RNA is filed under the name soil metagenome. RNAcentral's name for it is "partial contains 5.8S ribosomal RNA, internal transcribed spacer 2, and large subunit ribosomal RNA". The stretch from base 1 to 120 matches the Rfam family "5.8S ribosomal RNA", at positions 35 to 154 of the family's 154-position model. The record is from RNAcentral.
GAUGAAGAACGUAGCGAAAUGCGAUAAGUAAUGUGAAUUGCAGAAUUCAGUGAAUCAUCGAAUCUUUGAACGCACAUUGCGCCCUUUGGUAUUCCAAAGGGCAUGCCUGUUCGAGCGUCAUUUGUACCCUCAAGCUUUGCUUGGUGUUGGGCGUCUUGUCUCUAGCUUUGCUGGAGACUCGCCUUAAAGUAAUUGGCAGCCGGCCUACUGGUUUCGGAGCGCAGCACAAGUCGCACUCUCUAUCAGCAAAGGUCUAGCAUCCAUUAAGACUUUUUUUCAACUUUUGACCUCGGAUCAGGUAGGGAUACCCGCUGAACUUAAGCAUAUCAAUAAGCGGAGGA